Molecule: long non-coding RNA, 884 nt
Filed under: Astyanax mexicanus (Mexican tetra)
Lineage: Eukaryota; Metazoa; Chordata; Actinopteri; Characiformes; Acestrorhamphidae
Description: lncRNA (ENSAMXG00005017109.1)
Source: RNAcentral
GCUCCAGUGGAAGAGGCAGUUGAGGAGGCUGAUCCAGUGGAAGAGCCAGUGGAAGAAGCAGCUCCAGUUGAGGAGGCAGCUCCAGUGGAAGAGGCUGCUCCAGUGGAAGAGGCAGUUGAAGAGGCUGCUCCAGUGGAAGAGGCAGUUGAAGAGGCUGCUCCAGUGGAAGAGGCAGUUGAGGAGUCUGCUCCAGUGGAAGAACCUGUUGAAGAGCCUGUCCAGGUGGAGGAGCCAGUUGAAGAGCCUGUCCAGGUGGAGGAGCCAGUUGAAGAGCCUGUCCAGGUGGAGGAGUCGGUUGAAGAAGUGGUUGACGAGGCUGCUCCUGUUGAAGAAGUAAUUGAGGAGGAAGCCCCUGUAGAGGAAGAGGUCGAAGAGGCAGCCCCUGUUGAAGAGGCAGUAGAAGUGGAGGCAGCUCCUGAAGAACCUGUAGAGGAGGCUGAAACAGAACAGGAUGAAGCCUUUCACGAAGAACAGGCAGAGGAAGAGCCAGAAUCAGACAUAGCAGAAGAAAAUGAAGAAACACAGGAAACAGAGGUCACAGAUUCAGAAACGACAGAAGAAACAGAUGUAGACACAGAAUCACCCAGUCAGUAUGAAGAUGAGGUAGCUGCUGAGGAGGAACUCCCAGAAGAGGAAGUCACAGAAACGUAAAGGAUGCGAGGCUGCGAGUCAGAGGCAGAGAGAAGCAGCCGCACGGCAUUCCACUACGAGUGAGCAGCUCGGUGUUUCCACGUGGAGUAAAAAAAAAAAGGAUAAAACUAGCAUUUUUUUAUUUUUGUUUUGAGGGUUUUUCUGUUUUUGUUUGUUCCAUUUAGACACUCGGAUAUUUUGAAUGACAUCAUGUGGUGUGUUGUGUAUAUGCGAAGUACACAUUUUUAAAACGG